UUGUAAACGUCUUCCUGUCAGGGUUGCGGGUGGGAGGCAGGACUCAGACGCAGAGUUCAACAGGAAACACAAAGGACUUUAAUAGUCAAAGCUCAAAAAACACAGGAACCGGGGCAAAAACGAGAAACUACGGCGAUCCAAGACGAAAGACAAGGACAUGCGUGGCAAAUGACAAUGACGCGACAAGUGACACAGGAGACACAUGGCUUAAAUACACAAGGGAGGUGCAGGUGAUUGGACACAGGUGGAAACAUUUCGACAAUCAUAGGGGACGACAGGACAAGGCAGGAAGUGAAGUUACCCGGGGAGACAAGAAGCAGAAACUACAAAGAUAGACAGGAAAUAAAACCACACCGUGACAGUACCCCCCCCCCCCCCCAAGGGCCGAAUUCCAGACGGCCCCAGACUGGUAGAGCGCAGACAAGGGGCAGGAGGGAGGGAAACCAGAGACAUUGGUCGGACCGCACGGGAAACUCUGGCGGGCGGCCAGACGGCGGGGGAGCUUCUGGGGGUCGGCCUGGCGGGCGGUCUGUUGGCCGGGAGGGCUGCAGGACUGCAGGGCACUGAACGUCUAUGGAAUGGCUGGGAAACCUCCGGAGUCUCUGGCUGGGGGACAUGGGAAACCUCCGGCUCGGGGACACGGAACACCUCCGGAGUCGUCGCCGGCUCGGGGACACGGAACACCGGCUCGGGGACACGGAACACCUCCAGAGUCGUCGCCGGCUCGAGGACACGGAACACCGGCUCGGGGACACGGAACACCUCCGAGUCGUCGUGUCAGGGACACGGAACACCUCCGGAGUCGUCGCCGGCUCGAGGACACGGAACACCGGCUCGGGGACACGGAACACCUCCAGAGUCGUCGCCGGCUCGAGGACACGGAACACCGGCUCGGGGACACGGAACACCUCCGAGUCGUCGUGUCAGGGACACGGAACACCUCCGGAGUCGUCGCCGGCUCGAGGACACGGAACACCGGCUCGGGGACACGGAACACCUCCAGAGUCGUCGCCGGCUCGAGGACACGGAACACCGGCUCGGGGACACGGAACACCUCCGGAGUCGUCGCCGGCUCAGGGACACGGAACACCUCCGGAGUCGCCGGCUCAGCCCCCCCCAUAAACCCCCUCUCAAGGGCCGGAUCCCAGACGGCCCUUAAAUCACCAACGGGAGGGUGGGAGAGAACCACGGGAUGGGAGGGAGGGAGCCUGAGUCAGGGAGCGGGGACUAGAAGCGUCUGAGCCAUGGGGGCCGGUACCGGCCGAGUGGGGACGGGAGAUCGAUGAGAGCAUCUCACUAGUGAGCGCAAGAACAUCUCACUGGUGAACGUAAGAGUAUCUCACUAGUGAGUGUAAGAGCAUCUCACUAGUGAACGUAAGAGCAUCUCACUAGUGAGUGUAAGAGCAUCUCACUAGUGAGUGUAAGAGCAUCUCACUAGUGAACGUAAGAGCAUCUCACUAGUUAGUGUAAGAGCAUCUCACUAGUGAACGUAAGAGCAUCUCACUAGUUAGUGUAAGAGCAUCUCACUAGUGAACGUAAGAGUAUCUCACUAGUGAGUGUAAGAGCAUCUCACUAGUGAACGUAAGAGCAUCUCACUAGUGAACGUAAGAGUAUCUCACUAGUGAGUGUAAGACCAUCUCAAGAGUGCGCGUAAGAGCAUCUCACUAGUGAACGUAAGAGCAUCUCACUAGAGACUGUAAUAGCAUCUCACUAGAGACUGUAAGAGCAUCUCACUAGUGAGUGUAAGAGCAUCUCACUAGUGACAUAAGUGCAUCUCACUAGUGAGUGUAAGAGCGUCUCACUAUUGACUGUAAGAGCAUCUCACUAGUGAGCGUAAGAACAUCUCACUAGUGAACGUAAGAGCAUCUCACUAGAGACUGUAAGAGCAUCUCACUAGUGAAUGUAAGAACAUCUCACUAGUGAAUGUAAGAGCAUCUCACUAGUGACAUAAGUGCAUCUCACUAGAGACUGUAAGAGCAUCUCACUUGUGAGCGUAAGAGCUAAUCUAAUGUGGCCUGGUUCUUAGUCAGACUGGCCCACUCAAUGCAUAGCAUGUAUCGACCAGUGAGUGGCCUACUUGGAAAAAUACCCUUAUACUUAACAUUAUUUUGGAUGAUGACAAAGAAGUUACAUUAUACGUGUUUUUCAUAACAUUUGGAUCCAUCAAUUUUUCUGGAUGGACACAUGAAAUGAAAUGAUAUUGGCUGUUACAACAUUCCAGGUAUAGUUUUCUAGAUGAAUAUGCUUAACUCUUGGUUACUAUCAGAUCGUUAUACAUGUAUCUACACAGUCUUAAGGAAUGAAUGUCAGUAGAGAAAGAAAACAGACAAUAACGACACUGGAAUCAGAGUAUGAUCAUCAUUAAUGUGAACUAAAUGGUAGAAAUGAACAGAACAGAACAUCAGCGGGCAUUUGUGCCGGCGGGUUGAUCUCUGGUCAUUGAUGCGCGUGAUAAAACUGAUGAAACAAACAAAUGGUACAAUUGGAAUGAAAUUAAGAAAAUAAUGGCUGAGACAAAUACUAAUAUUGUAAAAAAUAUUAUUUCAUUUUCCCUUAAACUAGUGGUUGUAAUAAGUAGAGGAGGGUUAUGUUGGGGAAAUCCAAAUACGGUCAAAGAGAAAGAUAGUUUAAGGAUUAUCAGAUGUUCAGGAUGAUUUGAGAAGCAGGAUCUGGAUACCCCCCCCCCCCCCCCCCCGGUUAAUUUCAAUGAAACUGUGUGUCAUCAUGUUCCUCUUCUUCAAACAUGCAGUAGAUUCACGGCGACAUAAAAUGUCCCUGAGAGUCCGCUGCACAUAGAUAUGAAUAGUGAAUGUCUUUGCUUGGACUCCACCCUGCAGUAGGAUAAACCAGGCAUCAGAAGAAAUUAGGCAUAUUCACUAAAACAAGAUUUAUUUUAUUUGAAUCAAAUAAAUAAAUGAUUGACUUACUUCCGCUGAGAGUUUCUGGCGGGAAAGUCAUGAGCUGAUGUUAACAAGGACAGAGCUUGUUAGGGUGACACAUAGUAGGUGAUGUGAACCGGAGUUACAGUACAGGUCAACUUUAAAAAGCAAAAGAUAGUAGGGUCUCAAUCGACCACAGAUAAGGACGCAGGUCCAGAGAGGCCGCAUGAUAUGAUAGCGAAGGUCUAGCUGGACCACAGGAAGGCCUGCUGGGAUUUCAACAGAUCCCAAAGAGAGGGUCUCGAUGGACUGCAGGACAGGAGGGGGUGGGCCUGGUGCUGUCCAAUGUGUCCUUUAAAUAAUAUUCCUUCAUUUACGGGGGAAGGGGAAGCAGAGGGGCAGAAGCUGGGAAAAAAUAUCAGACGCACUACAUUUUGACAAAGUUUUUAUUUCAUACUUGUUACUUGAUCAGUACACAGACAGAGUAAUCUUACUAUUUGAAUACCAUAUACUGAAUAACAUUACACAUCUGAAUGACAGCUAAGUAGGGGAGAACCCUUCUACUGUUGUGAAUAGAAACAAGCUCCCAGUGUGAAACAACCAAACGACAAAAGAAGAACUUAUUGCUCAAUACAAAUCAACCAUAAUGGCAGCAAUGACGAAGAGUAGUAGUAGUAGUACACACAAACAAAUAUGAUUAUACCAAGAUUACACCCUAUAGUUUCCUAUUAAAAAAAGAAACUCCAAUGAAGAGGAACAGAAAUAUGUUAAAGUUUUCUUCAGUGUCGCUUCGGGGGACCUGUGCUGCAAACUGAGACUAUCUACAGGUGAAAGGAGGACCGACGUCUACAGAAGCUGAUCGAGCUGUUUACACGUUGCUACCAAACUUCACUAUUUCUAAACUCCAAGAGGAGCAGGAAGCAGCUUGCUUUUUGUGUUCGGGGAUGGAAGUGAAAACCUCAGCGAGGGGUUCUGCAGGGGUUGACGAUACUGUACAGCACUUCAAUAAAGGACAAAAUACAUUGGGGAUCUCCCGGGCAGGUUAGGUCGAAGACGAGUGGGAGAAAUCCCAAGUGUGCAGGAAAAAGCUUAGUGAAGUAAGAAAACGACGAGAGGUGAACAUAAACUCCGCUACAUGCAAACUUCAGGGCUCAUAAAUUCCCCCGCGAGGUUGCGAGAGGAGUCGAAUGAGGCGCUCGAUCUGACCGGCCAAUGACAUCUGAGCGCUUCUUCUUUUUCUUUUUAAAUCCUCCCUUGAUCAGAAAUGACAUUCUUCUUUUGACAUUCAGUCACACACCACUCCUUAAAGUCGGAAUCUCUCUCCGUGUUUCGGUAACAACACCUUCGCUUUUCUGCUCUAAAGACGGAUUUAAACGGAAACUCGACUGACACUACCGACCAUUUAAAGCAAACACGUGACAGCUAAUAGCCCUUUAGGGUGCGACUGGGUUUGCCUGUGAGAGCCGGGGCACCUUGUGAUUAUUUGGGGGCUGUUGCGGGUUGGUGUUUUUUUAGGGUGGCGUGGGGGCGUUGCCCUACAUUCCGAGCUUGGCGCCCAAACGGCUCCAAAAAAACCGGAAGCUGAAUGUGGCGCAUGAAGACCGUCCAGCACUGAAACCGAGUUUCCCCUUUGAAAGCACAGAACGUGCAGGUUUAAUGCAAGAGGGGGGGACGGCAUUUGGUUUUAUCCUGGGCGCUGGAGCCAGGAAAAGCUCCAGCUGGGUCCUCCGGUCUAGUUUGGUUUGGGUCAGAGUGCGAUAGGCACGUUAGAGACCACCUGACUACAGGCAGAACCACGUCCUGGAGUUCCUGAUGAUGACG
Long non-coding RNA from Gasterosteus aculeatus aculeatus (three-spined stickleback), 4700 nucleotides. NCBI's taxonomy places the organism in Eukaryota, Metazoa, Chordata, Actinopteri, Perciformes, Gasterosteidae. The record is from Ensembl.